UAUUUUUACUUUAAAAUAGAGCUUAUUGACUGCAUGAAGAGAAAGAAUUAGGGAAAGGGGAUAAAAAAGAAAACACAACAGAGUGUCUUUUAGGGAUAAAGAAGACAUCCCAUGUCUACUCUACUCACUCAAACACUUCCACUACCCAGACAAUCAAUCCAAUCAUCUCAUCAAGAUGGGACCUUCACAGAUCAAUGGGCUGAAUACCUUUGAAUGACUGAUUCAGAAAUGUUUUCCACAACAGGUUGGUUGGUACCAGUCUCAUGGAACUGUUUGGAGGAACUAAGAGUUUCAAGUCAUUUGCCCAGUUGCAAAACAAGUAAGAAUCUGAACUUAAACUCUGGUCUUUCUGAAGCCAGCUCUUGAUCCACUAUAUAAAGCUGCCUCUUGGUACUUGGCAGAAAAGCUUCCCUUAAGGAAUAGAUUCCUCUAAGAAUCAGGUAAAAAAGUCACAUUAAUGUGGUCUAAAACUUCUUAAACUGUGGGUCGUGUCUUGAGUCUUUUAGCUGAAUGUGGGGGAAUUUCAAUAUUAUGACAGAUUAUCAAUAAAUGUUUAAUUUGUAUACCUGUCUCAUAUACCUAUAUACCGGGGGUUAUGUGAAAAUUUCUGGGACAAAAAGGAAUCAUGAAUGGAAAACUCUUAAGAAGCCCUGGUCUAAAACUUCCCUAUAAGACACAUAGGAGCUUUU
This is a long non-coding RNA of Sarcophilus harrisii (Tasmanian devil), 689 nucleotides long. RefSeq lists it as uncharacterized. The transcript is spliced from 4 exons. Lineage: Eukaryota; Metazoa; Chordata; Mammalia; Dasyuromorphia; Dasyuridae. The record is from RefSeq and is a predicted model, not a curated record.